CCUACGGGUGGCUGCAGUGGGGAAUUUUGGACAAUGGGGGCAACCCUGAUCCAGCCAUGCCGCGUGCGGGAAGAAGGCCUUCGGGUUGUAAACCGCUUUUGUCAGGGAAGAAAUCUUCCGAGCUAAUACCUUGGGAGGAUGACGGUACCUGAAGAAUAAGCACCGGCUAACUACGUGCCAGCAGCCGCGGUAAUACGUAGGGUGCAAGCGUUAAUCGGAAUUACUGCGCGCGGAUGUGCAACAGGCGUUUGAAAUCCCAGGGCUUAACCUGGGAACUGCACUUGUGACGGUACGGCUGGAGUACGGCAGAGGGGGAUGGAAUUCCGCGUGUAGCAGUGAAAUGCGUAGAUAUGCGGAGGAACACCGAUGGCGAAGGCAGUCCCCUGGGCCUGUACUGACGCUCAUGCACGAAAGCGUGGGGAGCAAACAGGAUUAGAUACCCUAGUAGUC
Molecule: ribosomal RNA, 450 nt
Filed under: uncultured bacterium
Lineage: Bacteria
Description: partial 16S ribosomal RNA
Rfam family: Bacterial small subunit ribosomal RNA
Source: RNAcentral